RNAcentral lists this small nuclear RNA (186 nucleotides) under Castor canadensis (American beaver). Its description in RNAcentral is "U2 spliceosomal RNA (ENSCCNG00000010650.1)". It matches the Rfam family "U2 spliceosomal RNA". From Rfam's summary of the family: U2 is a small nuclear RNA (snRNA) component of the spliceosome (involved in pre-mRNA splicing). Lineage: Eukaryota; Metazoa; Chordata; Mammalia; Rodentia; Castoridae. The record is from Rfam by way of RNAcentral.
AUCACUUCUCAGCCUUUUGACUAAGAUCAAGUUGACUAAGAUUAUCAGUUUAAUAUCUGGUAUGUCCUCCAUCUGAGGACAAUGUAUUAAAUGGAUUUUUGGAAUAGUAAGAUGGAAUAGGAGCUUUGCCCAUUCACUCCAUACAUUGACGUGGUAUUGCAGAACCUCCAGGACAGCGCACCCUCU